AACCACUACUUCCCCGUGCGAAACAUCGAGUCUUGUUUCCGAGAGUGCGGAGAUAUUUCCCUUGUUUGAGAGAUGGCAAUGGUCCUGGAUUCAUUUGUUUCAAGAUGCAUUGAACAAGUGACAGGCUUUCUUGAGGGAGAGAUAUGCAAAGUGGUGGGCGUGAAGAAGGAGAUCAAGACGCUACAGGAGAAGCUGGAGACGAUCAAAUGUUACCUCGAAAGUGCAGAGCGGAAAAGCCGUGGGGAUCCCGGCAUCGAGGCCUGGGUGAGGAAGCUGAAAGACAUCAUGUACGAUGCCGACGACAUCAUCGAUCUGUGCAUGAUGGACGGUGGCAAACUGUUGGUGGCUGGGGGAUCAGCAUCGGCUUCGGGGGUAGGGUGAUUCCCUUUGGGGAUUAGCAGGCCGUCAGACGUGGCGGUUGGACGGUUGCUCCAUCCGUUGUUGAGAGGAACAUGUCCCUACUUUGGCGGGUGAGGGACAACACUCCAUCCACUGUUGGGAGUGCGAUAUGAGUUUGCCUUCAUCCCCUAUUGGAAGAAUACAAACUCAUCUCGUAUGAUAAAGCCUCUCCAUCCGCUGUUGGGGGAGUACUUCUUCGGAUAUUUAAUAUAUGUCAAUAUGAUGAUUGAAUUUUGAUCGUGUAUACAUUUUGAGUUAACUUUUGGAGUUCUUACUCAAUGUUGCUGAAUUUUUUUUAUUUUUAUAAUAACAUUCCUCUAGCACUAAAUCGGAUUCUAGUGGAGAGCGGAUCUUCAUCUAUCGCUAGGUAGAACCACUUGGAUUAUUCUUGAAGUUAACAUCACUAUAUUUAAUUUUCUACUUAUGAUUUGAUGAAUAAAAUAUAAUAAAUAUUUAUAAAUAAAAUAAAAAUAAUAUUUAUCUACUUCUAUGUAGAAAGAUAUUAAAAAAAAAAAUUUACUGUUUCCUCAGCAUCACUUACUAUUGGGAGUCUCGUACAGUCUAAAAAUUCGUAGUUCACAUCAGCUAUUGCAUCCUGCAGACGUUGGCGUUCUGUCGAAAUGUCAAUGCUUGCUGAUAUUUUAAUUGGAUGAUAUAUUGCACUGGUUUUUUAUUGUCUUUUUAAAUAUCUGAGUCUUGCUUAAUGAUGUUAAAUUUUCUGAUGAAUGAUCUAAUCUGAUGUCCGUCUUUGAGGUCACUUUCAUACGUACGUAAUUGAGCAAUAAUUGAAGGCAUAUUAUGUAGAUUAGGUGGUUCAAGAUAAUAAAUACAUGUUGACUAUACCCACGGGUUCUACUUAAAUCACAGAUGGGUGAAGAAUCAUUCCAAGAAUAGUCAACAAGAGGAUGUGACUGUGUGCAUUAGACGUCUGCCAUUAAAUUUUAGAACCAUGUUUCUUGCACGCAAUAGUAUUGCUUGUCGUUGUGAAUUAAAUAGAUAAUGCUACUUGAUUUUAGUACCAUGUAGAACGUUAGCUAAUAGCUACCGGAAACCAUGUUGGAUUAUAUAUAUAGAAGUUCUCACAUUCACGGAUGGCGGCUUCGACUAAUAAGACGCCAAACAAACUAUUUGUCGCAUCAUAUAACAUCUUGUGGUUUGUGUUCCACAAUUUAACUCCAAAAUUUACGAUGGUUUUUUUUCUUUUUCAUUUAAUCCCUACACGGUUUGAAAAAUGAAAUUUGUUAGCACACUUCAACAAAUAAUUGUUCUAAAUUUGUUAGUACAUUCGAAAACAAUGGCUCUUAAUGCCUUUAGUAUCCUAAUAGGUGUUCACAUAUAUACCAAUAUAAUUCAGGGCAAGUUUUAUGUUCUGUAGGUAUAUGCAUGUACUAAAUUUGAUAGAUUGGUGGAGUCCAUUGAAACUAUGCACCAACUGUUUGUGUUGGGAUUUACAAUAUAUAUUGUACCCGAUGAGAGUAUUAGUAAACAAAUAUGAUUGGCCAAUUGGAGACUCAACAGGCAAAGCCAAGUUAUCCAAAAAAAAAAAAAAGACAAAAGAAUGAUGAGAGAAAAUAUUUCCUCUAACUACAUACAGCGAGGUAUUUUUUUAAGUUCCCACUUGGAUCUGAUGUAUCUAUGAUAUCAUCUGAGGUAUUUUUUUAAAUUGAAUGUUACUGAGAUCUUAGUCGAA
Long non-coding RNA from Musa acuminata AAA Group (dessert banana), 2089 nucleotides. RefSeq lists it as uncharacterized. Lineage: Eukaryota; Viridiplantae; Streptophyta; Magnoliopsida; Zingiberales; Musaceae. The record is from RefSeq and is a predicted model, not a curated record. The transcript has 2 exons.